RNAcentral lists this ribosomal RNA (253 nucleotides) under uncultured bacterium. Its description in RNAcentral is "partial 16S ribosomal RNA". It matches the Rfam family "Bacterial small subunit ribosomal RNA", at positions 524 to 776 of the family's 1533-position model. The record is from RNAcentral.
UACGGAAGGGGCGAGCGUUGUUCGGAAUCAUUGGGCGUAAAGGGCGCGUAGGUGGUUUUGUAUGUCUGCCGUGAAAGGGUACAGCUCAACUGUAGCUUGUCGGUAGAAACUGCAGGACUUGAGGCUGGGAGGGGCUGGUGGAAUUCCCUGUGUAGCGGUGAAAUGCGUAGAGAUGGGGGAGAACACUCGUGGCGAAGGCGGCCAGCUAGACCAGUUCUGACACUGAGGCGCGAUAGCGUGGGGAGCAAACAGG